Humulus lupulus (European hop) is the source of this 611-nucleotide long non-coding RNA. RefSeq lists it as uncharacterized. The transcript is spliced from 3 exons. The record is from RefSeq and is a predicted model, not a curated record. Lineage: Eukaryota; Viridiplantae; Streptophyta; Magnoliopsida; Rosales; Cannabaceae.
UUUUCUAAUGGUGAACCAAUCAGAUCAUAAUCUUCUUCAUCUUCUUCUUCAGUUCAACCAAAUUAGCCCUCUCCCUCUCUCACCUGUGUUCUCUCUCUCUUACUCGUGGGUUUCUCUCUCUCGUGGGCUCUCUCUCUCUCGCUCACCUAGGUUUUCCUUAUUUGGGCCUUUAUCAGUUUCUUUUAUAUUUUGCAAAGCCUUGGUGGGUUUUCAUCCUCCGCCGGAGCUACGAUUGGGUACUCCACCAGUAGGUUUUUCGUUCACCAUCUUGGUCCCCAGGUAUCGUUGGGGAUUUUGGCUAUUCCACUGACUUUACUGGUUUUUCUGGGUUUCAUUAUAUAUGAACACAGAACAACGAAUCGUUCUGAGGAAAACAAGGUAAAGGGAAAGAAAAGCUCACCCAACCUUAAGUGGAGAGCUUAGGUGGUGAUGUGUACAUAUGCGGUCGCUUGACCACCACGGUCAAUGCAUUCUCAGAGGAACUAGGGGGGUUACCCUAUUUUGCCGCUUAGGUCGGCGGGAUUGUAAAUUUGAAACGGUAAUGACUAUUUUGUAUUGAGAACAACUUGUAAAUGUUUUGAUUAGCUCUGCAGAGCAGUUUGUAAUGAAAA